This 720-nucleotide ribosomal RNA is filed under the name uncultured bacterium. RNAcentral's name for it is "partial 16S ribosomal RNA". It matches the Rfam family "Bacterial small subunit ribosomal RNA", at positions 409 to 1119 of the family's 1533-position model. The record is from RNAcentral.
UGAAGGCCYUCGGGUUGUAAACCGCUKUCAGUUGGGAGGAAAUUAUUUAGGGCMAUCCCUAUUUAUUGACCUAUCUUCAKAGGAAGGACAGGCUAAGUUCGUGCCAGCAGCCGCGGUAAUACRAACUGUCCAAACGUUAUUCGGAAUCACUGGGCUUAAAGGGUGCGUAGGCGGCGUAGUAAGUUGGAUGUGAAAUCCUACGGCUCAACCGUAGAACUGCGUUCAAUACUGCUAUGCUUGAGGGAGAUAGAGGUAAGCGGAACUUCKGGUGGAGCGGWGAAAUGCKKAGAUAUCCGAAGGAACACCAGUGGCGAAAGCGGCUUACUGGGUCUCUUCUGACGCUGAGGCACGAAAGCUAGGGUAGCGAACGGGAUUAGAUACCCCGGURGUCCUAGCCGUAAACGAUGAKAACUAGAUGUCGGGAGGAAUUGYCUUUCKGUGUCSCAGCUAACGCGUUAAGUUCUCCGCCUGGGGAGUACGCCGGCAACGGKAAAACUCAAAGGAAUUGACRGGGACCCGCACAAGCGGYGGAGCAUGUGGUUUAAUUCKAGGCUACGCGMAGAACCUUACCUGGGCUUGAARUGUUYMGGAACCCCUGYGAAAKCAGGGGGUGCCCUUCGGGGAACCUUUGCAAAGGUGCUGCAUGGCUGUYCGUCAGCUCGUGUCGUGAGAUGUCGGGUUAAGUCCCUUAACGAGCGMAACCCCUUGUCUCCMGUUGCC